UUGAACCUUCGGGGUAGGGUGAAAGUCCCAACCGGCGGUGAUGGGUACGCAAGUACCCUAAGCCCGCGACUCCCGGCUGUUACGGCCGGGACUGACUUGGUGCGACUCCAAGGCCGACGGUAAAGUCCGGAUGGGAGAAGGUGAAA
This is a regulatory RNA element of Paenibacillus sp. HGF7, 146 nucleotides long. It matches the Rfam family "FMN riboswitch aptamer (RFN element)". Rfam says of the family: The RFN element is a highly conserved domain that is found frequently in the 5'-untranslated regions of prokaryotic mRNAs that encode for flavin mononucleotide (FMN) biosynthesis and transport proteins. This element is a metabolite-dependent riboswitch that directly binds FMN in the absence of proteins. The record is from Rfam. NCBI's taxonomy places the organism in Bacteria, Bacillati, Bacillota, Bacilli, Caryophanales, Paenibacillaceae.